AGUGAACGCUGGCGGUAGGCCUAACACAUGCAAGUCGAACGGCAGCACAGUAAGAGCUUGCUCUUACGGGUGGCGAGUGGCGGACGGGUGAGGAAUACAUCGGAAUCUACUUUUUCGUGGGGGAUAACGUAGGGAAACUUACGCUAAUACCGCAUACGACCUACGGGUGAAAGCAGGGGAUCUUCGGACCUUGCGCGAUUGAAUGAGCCGAUGUCGGAUUAGCUAGUUGGCGGGGUAAAGGCCCACCAAGGCGACGAUCCGUAGCUGGUCUGAGAGGAUGAUCAGCCACACGGGAACUGAGACACGUUCCAGACUCCUACGGGGAGCAGCAGUGGGGAAUAUUGGGCAAGGGGCGCAAGCCUGAUCCAGCCAUACCGGGGAGGGGAAGAAGGCCUUCUGGUUGGAAAGCCCUUUUGUUGGGAAAGAAAAGCAGCAGGUUAAUACCCCGCUGUUAUGACGGUACCCAAAGAAUAAGCCCCGGCUAACUUCGUG
RNAcentral lists this ribosomal RNA (492 nucleotides) under uncultured bacterium. RNAcentral's name for it is "partial 16S ribosomal RNA". It matches the Rfam family "Bacterial small subunit ribosomal RNA", at positions 29 to 507 of the family's 1533-position model. The record is from RNAcentral.